Molecule: transfer RNA, 78 nt
Filed under: Paenibacillus durus ATCC 35681
Lineage: Bacteria; Bacillati; Bacillota; Bacilli; Caryophanales; Paenibacillaceae
Description: tRNA-Arg
Rfam family: tRNA
About the family: Transfer RNA (tRNA) molecules are approximately 80 nucleotides in length. Their secondary structure includes four short double-helical elements and three loops (D, anti-codon, and T loops). Further hydrogen bonds mediate the characteristic L-shaped molecular structure. tRNAs have two regions of fundamental functional importance: the anti-codon, which is responsible for specific mRNA codon recognition, and the 3' end, to which the tRNAs corresponding amino acid is attached (by aminoacyl-tRNA synthetases). tRNAs cope with the degeneracy of the genetic code in two manners: having more than one tRNA (with a specific anti-codon) for a particular amino acid; and 'wobble' base-pairing, i.e. permitting non-standard base-pairing at the 3rd anti-codon position.
Source: RNAcentral
GCGCCCUUUAGCUCAGCUGGAUAGAGCGUUUGACUACGAAUCAAAAGGUCGGGAGUUCGAAUCUCUCAGGGCGCGCCA